Hordeum vulgare subsp. vulgare (domesticated barley) is the source of this 618-nucleotide long non-coding RNA. RefSeq lists it as uncharacterized. The transcript has 3 exons. The record is from RefSeq and is a predicted model, not a curated record. NCBI's taxonomy places the organism in Eukaryota, Viridiplantae, Streptophyta, Magnoliopsida, Poales, Poaceae.
UGUUGUUCCCCACCUCGCUUUCCCCUCGUAGCUAACAGAAGCAAGCCCCCAUCAGACCCAUCCUUGUGGUGAUGUUUAGAUCGAGAAGGAGGAUGGAUCUCCAGUCAUCGUUGACCUCAUGCUCCUCCCGCAAGCUACCUCGACGCUGCAACCCUCCUCCUUGCUCCUCUCGAGCGCAACCACCCCGGUGCCCGCAUGGAUUUUGCCCCAAGGAGUUCCUCCCGAGCUGAAGCGGGAGAGCCCAAGGACGGUGCCAACUGCCUGGCCGGCUCCCAGUCGGUGACCACCGGGUCGAUCCCGCGCCCCGCUUCCCUUCUCCCAUCCCCGUCGAUUCCGUCUCUGUCUCUCUCACCCCAACUCUCUUUUUCUUUCUCUUAAGGAGCUGCCCAUGGAGCCACGGUCGCGCCCCGCGAGCUCCAUCUCGCCGGAUCGAGCCCAACAACCACCAGGAAUGGAGCAGGUGCUCCCGGUUCUGCCCAUCCCUUCCGGCGCCCCGCCGGAGCCUGAUGCCCCGACCUGCAUCCCCAACCUGCAUCCCUGACCUGUUGACGAAGUAGAUGGAGUACUCGGAGUUGGACCGGAAGACCUCGAAGACCCUGAGGACUUAUGUGAGCCAAG